RNAcentral lists this microRNA (22 nucleotides) under Gadus morhua (Atlantic cod). RNAcentral's name for it is "gmo-miR-93-3p". Its record names the gene gmo-miR-93-3p. Lineage: Eukaryota; Metazoa; Chordata; Actinopteri; Gadiformes; Gadidae. The record is from miRBase by way of RNAcentral.
ACUGCAAAACCAGCACUUAAGG